ACGAAGCUGGAUUCGCUAGUAAUCGCGCAUCAGCCAUGGCGCGGUGAAUACGUUCCCGGGCCUUGUACACACCGCCCGUCAAGCCAUGAAAGCCGGGGGCGCCUGAAGUCCGUGACCGCGAGGGUCGGCCUAGGGUGAAACCGGUGAUUGGGGCUAAGUCGUAACAAGGUAAC
RNAcentral lists this ribosomal RNA (173 nucleotides) under uncultured bacterium. Its description in RNAcentral is "partial 16S ribosomal RNA". It matches the Rfam family "Bacterial small subunit ribosomal RNA", at positions 1320 to 1500 of the family's 1533-position model. The record is from RNAcentral.